UUCCUGACCUCGGAUCAGACGUGAUUACCCGCUGAACUUAAGCAUAUCACUAAGCGGAGGAAAAGAAACUAACAAGGAUUCCCUCAGUAACGGCGAGUGAACAGGGAAAAGCCCAGCACCGAAGCCUGUGGUCAUUUGGUCACUAGGCAAUGUGGUGUUCAGGUCGUUCCGUUGAGGUGCUGCUCCACCCUAAGUCCAGCAAUGAGUACGGUAGUACGGACAUGGCCCAUAGAGGGUGAAAGGCCCGUGGGGGUGGAG
This 258-nucleotide ribosomal RNA is filed under the name Nanophyetidae sp. 3LF-1343. RNAcentral's name for it is "partial 28S ribosomal RNA". It matches the Rfam family "Eukaryotic large subunit ribosomal RNA", at positions 1 to 234 of the family's 3401-position model. RNAcentral also lists the same sequence under 2 other names. Lineage: Eukaryota; Metazoa; Platyhelminthes; Trematoda; Plagiorchiida; Nanophyetidae. The record is from RNAcentral.